This 520-nucleotide ribosomal RNA is filed under the name uncultured Glomus. Its description in RNAcentral is "SSU rRNA". It matches the Rfam family "Eukaryotic small subunit ribosomal RNA", at positions 569 to 1092 of the family's 1831-position model. Lineage: Eukaryota; Fungi; Glomeromycota; Glomeromycetes; Glomerales; Glomeraceae. The record is from RNAcentral.
AGCAGCCGCGGUAAUUCCAGCUCCAAUAGCGUAUAUUAAAGUUGUUGCAGUUAAAAAGCUCGUAGUUGAACUUCGGGACCAAUAUGUCGGUCGUGCCUCGGUACGUACUGGUGUCAUUGGUUUCUCCCUUCUGAGGAUCCUUGAUGUCAUUAAUUUGGUGUCUUGGGGAAUCAGGACUGUUACCUUGAAAAAAUUAGAGUGUUUAAAGCAGGCAUACGCUUGAAUACAUUAGCAUGGAAUAAUGAAAUAGGACGUUCGAUUCUAUUUUGUUGGUUUCUAGGAUCGACGUAAUGAUUAAUAGGGAUAGUUGGGGGCAUUAGUAUUCAAUUGUCAGAGGUGAAAUUCUUGGAUUUAUUGAAGACUAACUACUGCGAAAGCAUUUGCCAAGGAUGUUUUCAUUAAUCAAGAACGAAAGUUAGGGGAUCGAAGACGAUCAGAUACCGUCGUAGUCUUAACCAUAAACUAUGCCGACUAGGGAUCGGAUGAUGUUAAUUUUUAAUGACUCAUUCGGUGCCUUAAC